RNAcentral lists this long non-coding RNA (316 nucleotides) under Apteryx owenii (little spotted kiwi). RNAcentral describes it as "lncRNA (ENSAOWG00000017553.1)". Lineage: Eukaryota; Metazoa; Chordata; Aves; Apterygiformes; Apterygidae. The record is from RNAcentral.
CACAGGUUCAGGUCCAGAAGUGAAGAGGCUUGAUAUGACAGUUUGCAGAAGAUGGAGCUUUCUGCCAGUGGUGGAUAAUAAAACAUAGGCUUUUUGUCAUGUGUUGUAACCUGCUCAGAAAGUGUCUGCUGUUGGCUGAAGAUUGAGAAUGGCAGAUGUCAGAAAUCACCUGUGUGAUUUCAGAAAGCUGUGAGAUCAAGGGAUCAGAAGAAUGUGCUGAACUAUGCUGGAGAAACUGUGUUCAAAAUCAGCUGCUACAAAUGUGUUUGGCUUCUCAGGUGUUGGUAGUGCCAGUCCUGCGCCAGAGCUAACCUGU